This 439-nucleotide ribosomal RNA is filed under the name uncultured bacterium. RNAcentral describes it as "bacterial SSU rRNA". It matches the Rfam family "Bacterial small subunit ribosomal RNA", at positions 30 to 467 of the family's 1533-position model. The record is from RNAcentral.
AUUGAACGCUGGCGGCAUGCCUUACACAUGCAAGUCGAACGGCAGCACGGGAGCAAUCCUGGUGGCGAGUGGCGAACGGGUGAGUAAUAUAUCGGAACGUGCCCAGUCGUGGGGAUAACGUAGCGAAAGCUACGCUAAUACCGCAUACGAUCUAUGGAUGAAAGCGGGGGAUCGCAAGACCUCGCGCGAUUGGAGCGGCCGAUAUCAGAUUAGGUAGUUGGUGAGGUAAAGGCUCACCAAGCCGACGAUCUGUAGCUGGUCUGAGAGGACGACCAGCCACACUGGGACUGAGACACGGCCCAGACUCCUACGGGAGGCAGCAGUGGGGAAUUUUUGGACAAUGGGCGCAAGCCUGAUCCAGCAAUGCCGCGUGCAGGAUGAAGGCCUUCGGUUGUAACUGUCUUUGUACGGUAACGAAACGGUAGGAGACGUCUAAUAC